RNAcentral lists this transfer RNA (69 nucleotides) under Austruca lactea. RNAcentral's name for it is "tRNA-Gln". Lineage: Eukaryota; Metazoa; Arthropoda; Malacostraca; Decapoda; Ocypodidae. The record is from RNAcentral.
UAUACGUUGGUGUAAAGCGCAUAAAAAGUUUUGAUCUUUGAGGAAGUGGUGCAAUCCCAUUACGUUUAA